UCUAUUGUGGCAGAAUAGUGUAAUGAACUUAAAAUUCAUCAAUGAAUUUUUUUUUCCUUUAGAA
This 64-nucleotide transfer RNA is filed under the name Stenocranus matsumurai. RNAcentral's name for it is "tRNA-Leu". The record is from RNAcentral. Lineage: Eukaryota; Metazoa; Arthropoda; Insecta; Hemiptera; Delphacidae.